RNAcentral lists this ribosomal RNA (406 nucleotides) under uncultured bacterium. RNAcentral's name for it is "partial 16S ribosomal RNA". It matches the Rfam family "Bacterial small subunit ribosomal RNA", at positions 30 to 526 of the family's 1533-position model. The record is from RNAcentral.
AUUGAACGCUGGCGGCAGGCCUAACACAUGCAAGUCGAACGAGUGGCGGACGGGUGAGUAAUGUCUGGGAAACUGCCCGAUGGAGGGGGAUAACUACUGGAAACGGUAGCUAAUACCGCAUACCAUCGGAUGUGCCCAGAGGGGAGUAGCUAGGAGGUGGGGUAACGGCUCACCUAGGCGACGAUCCCUAGCUGGUCUGAGAGGAUGACCAGCCACACUGGAACUGAGACACGGUCCAGACUCCUACGUGAGGCAGCAGUGGGGAAUAUUGCAAAAUGGGGGCAAGCCUGAUGCAGCCAUGCCGCGUGGAUGAAGGAGGCCCUCGGGUUGUAAAGUACUUUCAGCGAGGAGGCGUUACUCACAGAAGAAGCAUCGGCUAACUCCGUGCCAGCAGCCGCGGUAAUUC